GUGAGCAUGCCUGUCGGGACC
RNAcentral lists this small RNA (21 nucleotides) under Arabidopsis thaliana (thale cress). RNAcentral describes it as "Ath_wt_07501". The record is from RNAcentral. Lineage: Eukaryota; Viridiplantae; Streptophyta; Magnoliopsida; Brassicales; Brassicaceae.